Humulus lupulus (European hop) is the source of this 911-nucleotide long non-coding RNA. RefSeq lists it as uncharacterized. The record is from RefSeq and is a predicted model, not a curated record. NCBI's taxonomy places the organism in Eukaryota, Viridiplantae, Streptophyta, Magnoliopsida, Rosales, Cannabaceae. The transcript has 3 exons.
GAGAGAAAAGAAAACUUAAAACCAUUUCUUGGCUGGUUUGAAGAAAUUCUAAGGAGAUCCAAGUGAAAUCAAAGCCAAAGAAGUGGAUUAAGCUUAGUUCUAGCCUUUUUAUGAUAUUUAUUGGUGGUUUCCAAGUGGUUUGAGGUUUAGAAAAGCUUGAAGAGAUUGUUUUCGCCGAAAAGUUGCUCGGAUAAGCACAUCAAUACCUAAGACACCACUUGUUACACGGUGAACUAUAUUUUGGACAAAAAGGUAAGUAAAGUACUCAACUGCAACACAAGAAUUAUGUGUUAUGUGAAAGUAUGCAUUAUAUGAAUAUUUUGUGAGUAAGUGGUAUUAACAUACAGUGACACUUCAUCAUAAAUUUGUAUGCAUGGCAUAAUAGUGAUAUGGUAAAUUAUUAUAUGAUAUAAGACCAUGCAUGAUAUUAUGAUGAUUAAUUAUAUGAUGCCUUUGCAAGUUUUGUGCAACAUAAAAGAAAGUUGUUAUAAGAAGUUUAAGUUCAGUGCCACUGUUUUGAAAAGGCAAAUGAAAGUGUUAAUAAGUGUAAACGGAGGCCUAUAGUAGGCUUAUAGUGGCUGCCCAAUAAUUUGGGCUAGGUUUUAGUGAACCAAUUAUAUUGUUUGCCAUGUUUCCGUUUUUAUUUCUCCUCCAUAUGAGUUAUUGUUAUAUGUAUUGACACCACAGUGUGUGGCCGCCUUAACUCUUGAGCCCGACGGGGCAACGAUGGAAUAAGGUUUUUAAUGUGCCCUACUGUGGUGAUGGCUAGCCGGAGGAGAACCCAUGGGAUUUUAUAUUGUAUGUGUAACAAGCCCUGCAGGCAUUGACCAAUUCAAACAGUGUGCACAAUAUUAAGGGGCCCAAAAUUUAAAAAGAAGUUGUAUAUGUCCAUUGAUAUUGGGUAAUCAUUA